UCAAGUCUUUGGUGAUGAUUCACUCAGUCCUGGGAGAACACAAGAAAAUCACUACUCAGGGCUUCUCUGGAAACCAGCAUAGGGCCAGACACAAGACAAGGGCACGGGCGGCCCCCAGCAGUGUUUUCAGCAGGAAGGAGGGAGUGGACGAGUGGCUGCAUUGAGGAGUGGAUAUUUUGGAAGGGGAGAUUUCCUCUGGGACUUCUGAAUCUUUAAAACUCUAACGAGUUAGACGAAGGUGUACCUGGUCCUGUGGCCCCCGUCCCACCUUCCUGCUCAAGCUCUGAGACAUUUAGUCCUGGCUUGAUGGUUAUUGGCACAGAUGUUAAAAGGCCAUUAAUGGGGAACAUGGAAAGCUUUUUCUGAGCUAAAAGGCAUGCUGAGUUUUAGUUUAGAGUGGUUGCACGGGGGCCUCUUCAUCAUGAAUCUGGAAACCCUCUAUCAUUAAGGAUUAGUUCACAGAUUUCCUGAAAGUAAAAGAAAAAUGGAAAAGGAAAUAGGAAGACACCAGCCACCACCUUGCACAGACUCUGGGAUCUAAGACCACACAAUGAAAGGGAGAAAUCAGUGGCUGAAGGAGUCACUUCAUGACUGGGGAGUACAAAUGAUCUAGACCUGCACCGCCUGAUGCUGUAGUUACUACCCACAUGUGGCUAUUUAAGUUGAAAUUAAUUGAAAUUAAAUAAAAUAAAAAAUACAAUUCCUCAGUCACAGUGGUCAAGUGUCAAGUGCUUAAUAGCUGAAUGUAGCUAAUGGCAACUGUAUUAGACAGUGCAGAUUUCAUAAACCAUUUUAUAGGCCGUGUAUAUCAGCACAGAAAGUGCUACAAGACAGUGCUGAUGUGUCUCUUUACAUAAUCAGGUUUAAGCUGGCACUGUCUAGGGUAAUGGCUGAAAAUCAGGGUUUGUUCCUUCGGGACGACAGUUGGAGAAAUGGUCAACCCUUGGUUUCAUAAUAAUAAUGCCUUUGAAGGGAGUAAGCCAGAGAUAACUUCUUCACAAAAUUAAUGGUGUUUGUAUCUAGGUCUCCAAGCCCCAAUGAAGGAAUUUAAGAUUAAGAAACU
Molecule: long non-coding RNA, 1063 nt
Filed under: Homo sapiens (human)
Lineage: Eukaryota; Metazoa; Chordata; Mammalia; Primates; Hominidae
Description: HSALNT0183034
Source: RNAcentral